UUGAGACUCAAAAUUCCUCAAGGUGUCGUGCCAACAAGUGACUGUCCGCCGAAAAAACUGUUUGUAGGCUAUUUCACUUGCCAGAAAGUGAUUGAAGAGACUGUGCAAUACAGCUCCAGCAGACGGCAAUCGGCGGACGAUCGCUGACAUUCAUCAUGAACUUUGGCUUUAAAACUUCAUACAACAAGACCCAAACAAAGAAGCGGUGAACGCAAAAUAGGUAACCUGUGUUGCAGUGUGGAUCAUUGGUGACAGCUAUGUACAGCAUGGUGGCCAGAGAGCUUUGGAAGCAUCUUCACCCUACCAGAUGUCUCUUGGUCUGCCUUGCUUCUCCCCUUCUUUGCCCCUCCCUGUGACUGUGGCGGCAGCAGCAUGGGGGACGUCAGCAGCAGGAAGCUGGUCAACAUGAUGGAGGACCUGCACCAGCUUUACCUCCAGCAC
This is a long non-coding RNA of Micropterus dolomieu (smallmouth bass), 441 nucleotides long. RefSeq lists it as uncharacterized. The transcript is spliced from 3 exons. The record is from RefSeq and is a predicted model, not a curated record. Lineage: Eukaryota; Metazoa; Chordata; Actinopteri; Centrarchiformes; Centrarchidae.